RNAcentral lists this ribosomal RNA (550 nucleotides) under uncultured Acidobacteriota bacterium. Its description in RNAcentral is "bacterial SSU rRNA". It matches the Rfam family "Bacterial small subunit ribosomal RNA", at positions 355 to 897 of the family's 1533-position model. Lineage: Bacteria; Pseudomonadati; Acidobacteriota. The record is from RNAcentral.
UGGGGAAUUGUUCGCAAUGGGCGCACGCCUGACGACGCAACGCCGCGUGGAGGAUGAAGGUCUUCGGAUUGUAAACUCCUGUUGCCCGGGACGAAUGGCUCCGACCUAACACGUUGGAGUGUGACGGUACCGGGUGAGGAAGCCCCGGCUAACUCUGUGCCAGCAGCCGCGGUAAUACAGAGGGGGCAAGCGUUGUUCGGAAUUACUGGGCGUAAAGGGCGCGUAGGCGGCCUUCUAAGUCGAACGUGAAAUCCCCGGGCUCAACCCGGGAACUGCGUCCGAUACUGGAAGGCUUGAAUCCGGGAGAGGGAUGCGGAAUUCCAGGUGUAGCGGUGAAAUGCGUAGAUAUCUGGAGGAACACCGGUGGCGAAGGCGGCAUCCUGGACCGGUAUUGACGCUGAGGCGCGAAAGCCAGGGGAGCAAACGGGAUUAGAUACCCCGGUAGUCCUGGCCCUAAACGAUGAAUGCUUGGUGUGGCGGGUAUCGAUCCCUGCCGUGCCGAAGCUAACGCAUUAAGCAUUCCGCCUGGGGAGUACGGUCGCAAGGCUGA